AUGUUCCGUUUCCAGAGUUGAUCAUUGGCUUUCAUGUAAAUUAAUUUGAUCAUAGAUAAUCUAUUCCUCUUUCUAAGGUUUCAUUCAUGCUCAUUUAUUGCCCAAUUUGUGAUCUGUUGAAUUUUGGGGAGUCUAUGAUCUAGUGAUUCUUUUUGUACCAUAUAUUGUUCUUUUCGUAUUUUUAAUUUUCAGAAACAGCCUACGAAACAAGCACACGGCACUAAUUUUUCAGUUAGUUAAGACAAUUUGACAUGAUUAAUGGCUGAGUUGAGGGAAAACUAUAUUUAUUCAUUAAAUAAGUAUAUAUGUGUGAAGACUUUGACCUGGUUCUCUUGUCUUAAAGUACUAUUUCUUCAUGUUGAAGCUGGUAAAGGGUAGUUGGUGAAAGAUAUAUGAUUUAAGCUGGGUUAGGUAAGACUCUUGAAUUUGGGAAUAUUAUUUGGAUUAGUUCAGAGUACUCUUUGGUUGCAACUUAUGGUUGCAUUUUGUACAAGGAAGUUGUUUUCUUAAUGCAAUAAGAAAGAUGAUGAAAGUCUUAAAGUACUAUUUCCUUUUGUGUUUGUACUGACUAAGUAGUUAUGUGACAGGCAGGGAUUCUUUAUUCGGUUAAAGUGUUGCUUUGCUGAAUUUGUGUUAUCUGUUGAAUUUUAUUUAAUUUUAUGAAUCUUAUGUAGUUUUGUAAUUUUCAAUACAGUUAAUGGAGUCUAAUUCCAGGAUCAGUUGUGACCACGUACGUAUUAUAUGCAUCUACGUCUGAUCAGUUGUGGUCACACUUCCUAGGUUGUUUAGUUCAUGCACUUGCACUCUGCAAUGUCAGGGGGAAAUGAAACUUGUUUUAGUGCACAUCUGCGAAUCAAAUUUCUUGGUGCUUGAUGCUAUUGCUCCCCUGCCUCCCUUUAUUUUCAGCAUGGUGUCUACUUUUCCUGCAUCCUAAAGCAUAACUACCUAUGAUUACCACUCAGCAUGUUCACUUUAGGUUGUAUAGUUUGUGUAGGCAUAACUUGAUAAUAUUUCCUAGGAUGGUACCUUGAAGGUCAUGUAGUUAACAAUAAAUUAUUACCCAUCUAACUACUGUUCAAUAGGAGGCAAUGCUUGUCUUUGAUGAUCAUUUAGUGAGAAAAUGAUGUAUAUUCGACUGGCUAAAUACUAAUUGGUUUUAGUAAUUAGUAAGUCACCACAUUGAUUGUGAAAUUUAACUGGGAGUUUGAUGGAAGCUGACAUAUUUUACUUUGUUUAAAACCUUGUUGUCAAUUUUGCAUACUUUAUAUUUUGUGGCGCUAAGGAAAAAGCUAGCUUGUUCCAUUGUCAAAUGUAGUUACAAGCGCACAUGUCAUGGACAUUAUAUUGCAGCAAGGAUCAACUUGACAUGGAAGUUACUCGGUUCUCUUGUUAAAUAUGUGUUUGGAUGUGUCAGAAUAUAAUGUUUUCCGUCCAUAAUGAAGUUGUAUGAGGGUUCUUCACAUAUGUGAGAAAAAGAAAUGUCCUUCAGUAAGCUUCUCUCAUCUUUCAUUUGAGGAAAACAAAUAACAACGUCCUUUAAAUUCUGUGCUUUCUUUUCAUUAUAUAUUUUACAGUUAGCAGACUGUAUAGUUCCUUGAAUCCUGAAUAUCAACAUAUCACCAUAAUAGUCAUAACACCUAGGACAUUAAAGUUUCAUGACUGGUAAUUAUAUUGCAUUAAUUGAGCAGCGACUGGUUUCUUUUCGUCCGGUGAUUAUAUUGACGACGUGUGUGUUGUAUUUGCUUUCAAGGCUAUCUCAGACAAGAAAAUCGCCACAAUAUCAUCUGAUGGCUUUUGGGAAGAAGAAGAAAGUUUCAACUGCACAUUUAGUCAACUCAAAGUUGUGGAGGUGACUGACUUCAGCGGCAUCACAUCUGAACUUAAGCUCAUCGAGUUUGUGCUUGCUAAUUCACCUGUUCUUGGCUUUUGUGAAGAAGCAGAAGUUUGUUACUGUUGUAAUUUUUUGUGUGUAAAUAAUACUGUCUGUAAUUAGUUCUUGUGUUUGAACACCUUAGUGCAUGUAACUUUUUUGUUGAGGCCACACUUUUACAAAAAAUUGUUCAUGUUAUAAUUGCUAUAGCUGAACAGGGAAAUGCUAUCUGCAAACUUGGGUUAUGCAAAGUUAUUGAUAAAACUAUGUCUAGAGAGGUGUGCUUUAAUGAA
Asparagus officinalis (garden asparagus) is the source of this 2163-nucleotide long non-coding RNA. RefSeq lists it as uncharacterized. The record is from RefSeq and is a predicted model, not a curated record. Lineage: Eukaryota; Viridiplantae; Streptophyta; Magnoliopsida; Asparagales; Asparagaceae. The transcript has 2 exons.